Molecule: ribosomal RNA, 269 nt
Filed under: uncultured bacterium
Lineage: Bacteria
Description: partial 16S ribosomal RNA
Rfam family: Bacterial small subunit ribosomal RNA
Source: RNAcentral
GUCCACGCUGUAAACGAUGACGACUAGGUGUGGGGUGGGUUAGUCCAUUCCGUGCCGCAGCUAACGCAUUAAGUCGUCCGCCUGGGGAGUACGGCCGCAAGGUUGAAACUCAAAGGAAUUGACGGGGGCCCGCACAAGCGGUGGAGCAUGUGGUUCAAUUCGAUGCAGAGCGAAGAACCUUACCUGGGCUUGACAUGUAGGAAGUAGAAACCCGAAAGGGCGACGACCUGUUAAGUCAGGAACCUACACAGGUGGUGCAUGGCUGUCGU